GAGGAUUAGAUAAACCGUACAGUGCAACUCCAAAGAGUUGAGCCACGCUUUAGGAAAGGGCAAACAUGUAAUUUUAACGAAGCUACGCAUGUUCCAUCCUGCUUUCCUACUCAGAACCUAUUCAGGUUUGGUGGGCGAACUCUUCCUUUUAUAACAGGACAAGUAAUGCUAACGAUUUACUUUUCUUCAAUUUUCCACAUCUCUUUAUAAAAAUCCUACCAUCUUGUACCUGAAAUUCGUAUCUGAUUCUAUCUCUAUAUAUUGCUGUCUUCAGAAAUUGUACAAGUUGAUACAUUCUUGUUUUUCAAGUGCAAAUUUGGCCUUUUGUGUUUUGAAUUUGAAUUUCAAAGGCAAUAAUUUGUUAAGAACAGGGAGACAGUUGAGUAGGAUGUUUAACGGAAUGAUGGAUCCUGAGUUGAUCAGACUUGCUCAGGAGCAAAUGAGUCGCAUGUCACCUGCCGAGUUAGCCAGGAUCCAACAACAGAUGAUGGGUAAUCCAGAGUUGAUGAAAAUGGCCUCAGAAAGCAUGAAGAACAUGAGGCCUGAAGACUUGAGACAGGCUGCGGAACAGUUAAAGCAUGUUCGUCCAGAGGAGAUGGCUGAGAUUGGUGAGAAAAUGGCCAAUGCAUCACCUGAUGAGAUAGCUUCCAUGCAUGCCCGUGUUGAUGGCCAGAUCAACUAUAAAAUAAAUGCGGCUAAGAUGCUAAAGAAACAGGGUAAUGAACUUCACAGCCAAGGAAGGUUCAAAGAAGCCUCACAGAAAUAUCUACUUGCAAAGAAAAACCUAAAAGGAAUUCCAUCCUCCAAAGGCAAAUCACUUAUGUUGGCAUGCUCUCUUAACCUGAUGUCAUGUUACCUGAAAAUUAGGCAGUAUGAAGAAUGCAUAAAAGAAGGCUCAGAGGUUUUGGAAUAUGAUUCAAAAAAUAUCAAAGCUCUCUAUCGGAGGGGCCAAGCCUAUAAAGAACUAGGCCGAUUGGAGGAUGCUGAAUCUGAUUUGAGUGAAGCUCAUGAAAUUUCUCCUGAUGAUGAAACUAUUGCAGAUGUUUUAAGGGAUGCCAAGGAAAGAUUGACUCGAGAAGGUGGUCAUGCACCAAGGAGAUUAAUAAUCGAAGAAAUAACUGAAGAAGUUGGGACUACAUCUUCUCAAAACCCAGGUUCAUCUGCAGCAUAUUCAGUGUCACAAUCAAAGCAAACUGUUGAUACUUCUAGCAGUGAAAGUAAGGCUAAUGGCAAGGGUUUAACCAAUUCAGAGUCUGUGCAUGCUUUGAAAGAUGACCCAGAAGCUAUAAGAUCAUUCCAAAAUUUCAUAUCUAAUGCUGAUCCCGAAACUUUGGCUGCUUUAAGCGGUGGAAAAGCUGGAGAGGUAUCUCCUGAGAUGUUCAGGACUGCCUCAAAUAUGAUCAGCAAGAUGUCACCGGAAGAGCUCCAGAAAAUGAUUCAAAUGGCUUCCUCUUUUCACGGGGGAAACCCAUAUACUGUUGGUGAUUCUUCAGAUAACAGUUUCACACCCGGUUCAGUUCCUCCCAAUGUGUCGCCAGACAUGCUUAAAACAGCAACUGAUUUGAUGAGUAAGAUGCCCCCUGAAGAGCUUCAGAAAAUGUUUCAAAUGGCAUCCUCUAUGAGAGGAAAUGACUCGGUUCCAAAAGCAGCAGCUUUAAGUACUAAUAGACUAAAUUCAGACACUGGGUCAAAACUGACAGGACAAGAAGGAAAUUUUGUAGUUGAUAGGAAUGACAUAAGUGAAACUAGUUCCUCAAAUGGUUUAUUUUCAAGCUCAAGAAAUGCUUCUCCGCUAAGCUUUCCUAGCUCAACUGCUGAUGUGCAAGAACAAGUGAGAAACCAAAUGAAAGAUCCAGCUAUGCGACAGGUGUUCACAUCAAUGAUGAAGAAUAUGAGCCCAGAGAUGAUGGCCAACAUGAGUGAACAAUUUGGAUUGGAACUUUCUCCGGAAGAUGCAGCAAAAGCUCAAAAAGCUAUGUCGUCUUUAUCACCAGAGGACCUGGAUAGAAUGAUGCGAUGGGCAGAUAGGAUCCAGAGAGGAGCUGAAGGUGCAAGGACUGCAAAAAACUGGUUACUAGGGAGGCCUGGUAUGAUUAUGGCCAUGUGCAUGCUCCUCUUAGCCAUGAUCCUUCACUGGCUGGGCUACAUUGGGAGGUAGGGAGGACCCAACUCUUUUUUAAAAGUUUUCUCAGACAAGUUUAACCUUCAGCUCUGUUUAGAUCGACCAGACCAUUCGUGUAUCCUUGAAAUAAGAAUGGGAAGUAGAAAGGGAAUCGGACAGUACAUGGAAUGAAGAAAAUUGAGAAAUUAGAGAGCAGGUUUAAUUUGUGCGUUGGGUGAAGAAGAUGAUAGCCAUAAUUGUUUGAUUUGUUGUACUUCUGAUUUUUGUUUGUGGACUAUUAGGGAGGAGAUUAGAAUUCCUAAAAGGGGGUCUCAGAAAGGAGAUUCUAAGUUAUUGAGCUAAUGUCCACUAACUUUGUGUUAACGCUAUAUAAUUUGGUGUGCAGCAUAUGGAGGUUAUGAGACCCACCACUAAACAAAAUUAAGGUUUUUUAUUUAUUUAUUUUUAUUUGGUAGUCAAAUAACAAUGACUAUGCAGGAAUAGUUCUAUUUGUUUUUCUUUUGUGAUUGGUGUACAUCUUUUUUUCAUUUGUUCUUUAUAUUUAUAACUUAACCUAAUGUCUUAAGUUGGAUUGGAUCUUGGUGAUUAUGGUGACUUUGAUUGUGUCAGGCUAGGCUUCUUUGUCAUUAGGGUAGUUCAUCUCUCAUCUACUGGACUGCUGAAUGACUUGAAAAAUCACUCCUCAGGUAUUUUUCACAUUUCUUUAUAAUAUCUUACCCAUUGAGUUCAAUAUCUUUUUGAGAAAGUAUUUAUUGUUUUGCUAAUAAAAUAGCAUCUGUAGUUUUUUGGUUAUCGGUUUCAGUAUCCCUUAUACUUAAUCUCUAUCUACAAUUUUAAUAAAGCAGAGCAGCUAAUAGUAUUUAUUGUAACUUUGGUGUUUAUAUGAAUGCUGAUAUGUUUCAAAUCUGUCCACACUAUGAUUACUGUGUCGUAUUGUUACUAGUCUGAGCACUAGUCUCAGUUUUUCAACUUAACUUGUUAGUGUUAUUUGAAAAACUGGAUUGGCAUUCCACUCUCUCAUAAUUUAUUUACUUUGAAAGUGAUGCAGAAGAAGUCCUAUGGUUUUUAUUGAAAAUAUCAGACUUAGAAGCAAAUUUAAUUUCAUGGCUCUGGGCCAAGCAAACAAAUGCUGAAGUUGCGGCCUAGAGUACUAUUUGAGAGGACUGCAUUUCCUAAUGACCCGUGUAUAUAGCAAGAUUCUGAGUUGAAAACUAUUAGCUACUCUCAUUUUCUUUUCUUAUUCCUUCCACUUCUUUUUGUCCUUUAGUAACAAAAUUCAAGGAAUAUUUUGGUAUAGGAUUAAUUUGUACUACUCAUGAAUAUUUUUUUUGGUUGGAGGUAAUUUGCGUUAACCCUUGAUGAUCUUGGCUGAAACUUGAAAGAUGAUUUCAACAGUUACAGGGUGGGGAAAGAAGAAUUAUGCUUUGCCUAUAAUUUGAAGAGGAUAUGUUUAAGAGAAUAAUCAUCCAUCAACUUCCUCUUCAACCUCUUACUGGUCUUAUGAAAGGCGCGCAUGAGGCUCUAAUUCUAAUGCCUCUAUGAGAAAAUGGUAGACAAUCUUUAACCGGCGCUCGCCUAUUGUGACAAGGGAGUUCUCUGCUUCUAUUAAAGUUUGUUAGGUCAUUUUAGAAAGUUCCAUUUUCUAUAGAACAUAAUUGAAGAAAUAGUUUGGUGUUUAACAUGAUGAAUGGUCUUUGUUUUAUGUUCACCGUUUUAUGCCUGCGAAAUUUGAAUGACGAAUGUGAUGAAAGUUAUGCAUAGAGCUAAAAAAGAAAGGAGUGCAUCAAAGUUAAGUGAUUAAACUGU
RNAcentral lists this unclassified non-coding RNA (3928 nucleotides) under Hevea brasiliensis (rubber tree). Lineage: Eukaryota; Viridiplantae; Streptophyta; Magnoliopsida; Malpighiales; Euphorbiaceae. The record is from RNAcentral.